RNAcentral lists this ribosomal RNA (928 nucleotides) under uncultured archaeon. RNAcentral's name for it is "bacterial SSU rRNA". It matches the Rfam family "Archaeal small subunit ribosomal RNA", at positions 1 to 943 of the family's 1478-position model. The record is from RNAcentral.
UUUGGUUGAUCCUGCCGGACCCGACUGCUAUCGGAUUGAGACUAAGCCAUGCGAGUCAACUAGCAAUGGUGGCGCACGGCUCAGUAACACGUAGUCAACCUGCCCUAGGGACGUGGAUAACCACGGGAAACUGUGGCUAAACCGCGAUAGGUCAUCGCUACUGGAAUGGGCAAUGGCUCAAACCUACAUGGCCCUAGGAUGGGACUGCGGCCGAUCAGGUUGUUGGUGGGGUAAUGGCCCACCAAGCCUGUAACCGGUACGGGCUCUGAGAGGAGGAGCCCGGAGAUGGGCACUGAGACAAGGGCCCAGGUCCUAUGGGACGCAGCAGGCGCGAAACCUUCGCAAUAGGCGAAAGCCUGACGAGGUUAAUCCGAGUGUUUCCUGCUAAAGGAAUCUUUUGCCAGCUCUAGAAAGGCUGGUGAAUAAGGGGUGGGCAAGCCUGGUGUCAGCCGCCGCGGUAAUACCAGCACCCCGAGUGGUCGGGAUGAUUAUUGGGCCUAAAGCAUCCGUAGCCGGUCCUGCAAGUCUUCCGUUAAAUCCACCUGCUCAACAGUUGGGCUGCGGGAGAUACUGUAUGACUAGGAGGCGGGAGAGGCGAGGGGUAUUCCUUGGGUAGGGGUAAAAUCCUCUGAUCCAUGGAGGACCACCAGUGGCGAAGGCGUCUCGCCAGAACGCGCUCGACGGUGAGGGAUGCAAGCUGGGGGAGCAAACCGGAUUAGAUACCCGGGUAGUCCCAGCUGUAAACGAUGCAGGCUCGGUGAUGGGUUGGGUUCGACCCAACCCAGUGCCGCAGGAAAGCCGUUAAGCCUGCCGCCUGGGGAGUACGGUCGCAAGACUGAAACUUAAAGGAAUUGGCGGGGGAGCACCACAAGGGUGGAGCCUGCGGUUCAAUUGGAUUCAACGCCGGAAAUCGGAUCCCGGGGCCCGU